AUUGAACGCUGGCGGCAUGCUUUACACAUGCAAGUCGAACGGCAGCACGGGAGCAAUCUGGUGGCGAGUGGCGAACGGGUGAGUAAUAUAUCGGAACGUGCCCAGUCGUGGGGGAUAACGCAGCGAAAGCCGUGCUAAUACCGCAUACGAUCUAUGGAUGAAAGCGGGGGACUCGCAAGAGCCUCGCGCGAUUGGAGCGGCCGAUAUCAGAUUAGCUAGUUGGUGGGGUAAAAGCCCACCAAGGCGACGAUCUGUAGCUGGUCUGAGAGGACGACCAGCCACACUGGAACUGAGACACGGUCCAGACUCCUACGGGGGGCAGCAGUGGGGAAUUUUGGACAAUGGACGCAAGUCUGAUCCAGCAAUGCCGCGUGCAGGAUGAAGGCCUUCGGGUUGUAAACUGCUUUUGUACGGAACGAAACGGCUCCUUCUAAUAUAAGGGGCUAAUGACGGUACCGUAAGAAUAAGCACCGGCUAACUACGUGCCAGCAGCCGCGGUAAUACGUAGGGUGCGAGCGUUAAUCGGAAUUACUGGGCGUAAAGCGUGCGCAGGCGGUUAUAUAAGGCAGAUGUGAAAUCCCCGGGCUCAACCUGGGACCUGCAUUUGUGACUGUAUAGCUAGAGUACGGUAGAGGGGGAUGGAAUUCCGCGUGUAGCAGUGAAAUGCGUAGAUAUGCGGAGGAACACCGAUGGCGAAGGCAAUCCCCUGGACCUGUACUGACGCUCAUGCACGAAAGCGUGGGGAGCAAACAGGAUUAGAUACCCUGGUAGUCCACGCCCUAAACGAUGUCAACUGGUUGUUGGGUCUUCACUGACUCAGUAACGAAGCU
This 830-nucleotide ribosomal RNA is filed under the name uncultured bacterium. RNAcentral describes it as "bacterial SSU rRNA". It matches the Rfam family "Bacterial small subunit ribosomal RNA", at positions 28 to 853 of the family's 1533-position model. The record is from RNAcentral.